UCAUGGCUCAGAUGGUAAAGAAUCUGCCUACAAUGCAGAAGACCCAGGUUCAAUCCCUGGGUCAGGAA
This is a non-coding RNA of Bos taurus (domestic cattle), 68 nucleotides long. NCBI's taxonomy places the organism in Eukaryota, Metazoa, Chordata, Mammalia, Artiodactyla, Bovidae. The record is from Rfam.